This 454-nucleotide ribosomal RNA is filed under the name uncultured Prevotellaceae bacterium. RNAcentral's name for it is "bacterial SSU rRNA". It matches the Rfam family "Bacterial small subunit ribosomal RNA", at positions 341 to 792 of the family's 1533-position model. Lineage: Bacteria; Pseudomonadati; Bacteroidota; Bacteroidia; Bacteroidales; Prevotellaceae. The record is from RNAcentral.
ACGGAAGGCAGCAGUGAGGAAUAUUGGUCAAUGGGCGAGAGCCUGAACCAGCCAAGUAGCGUGCAGGAAGACGGCCCUAUGGGUUGUAAACUGCUUUUGUGCGGGAAUAACGUUGUGCUCGUGAGCGCAAGUGCAUGUACCGUACGAAUAAGGAUCGGCUAACUCCGUGCCAGCAGCCGCGGUAAUACGGAGGAUCCGAGCGUUAUCCGGAUUUAUUGGGUUUAAAGGGAGCGUAGGCGGAAGAUCAAGUCAGCUGUGAAAUGUAGAUGCUCAACAUCUGCACUGCAGUUGAAACUGGUUUUCUUGAGUGCGUAAGAGGCAGGCGGAAUUCGUCGUGUAGCGGUGAAAUGCUUAGAUAUGUCACAGAACACCGAUCGAGAAGUCAGGUCACGAGCUCGCAACUGACGCUCAGGCACGAAAGCGUGGGGAUCAAACAGGAUUAGAUACCCUGGUA